GGGGUAAACGGGAGAAAUCCUGAAUUCGAAAGGGGCCGGAUUCCAGUCCAUCCAGGUACAUCGGGCCGUCUUGCCCCGCCAGAUGGCGUCGGUCGCCCGCGGUGAUUCAUUUCGCUUGCGGUGUCGUUCCCGGCGAUCACUCGGCGGGGUGGCGCGUCUCCGGUUCCGGAGGGCCGCAUUUCCACCCUUUGUAGAAACGUCGCGACCCGUUGGGUGCCGGUCUAAGGCCCGGGUAGGCAGACCGUUCGUUCCGCGGGGGCUCUCGCGGGCGGGCGGACUCCUGGUGACCCGGCCGGCUGCCCGACGGUAUGACCAGAGGAGCCGAUCCGCUAAUUGGGAAACACUUUGGUUGUGUAGCGUCUGGCCCGGCGCCGAUGCGCGAGGGGAUUGAGGUGCAAACCUUUGGGUGUCCGUGUUGACCACGGCCCCGGCCUCUCUGCGU
Molecule: ribosomal RNA, 442 nt
Filed under: Metriophasma iphicles
Lineage: Eukaryota; Metazoa; Arthropoda; Insecta; Phasmatodea; Pseudophasmatidae
Description: eukaryotic LSU rRNA
Source: RNAcentral